RNAcentral lists this ribosomal RNA (430 nucleotides) under Bellamya sp. 14840. RNAcentral's name for it is "partial 16S ribosomal RNA". It matches the Rfam family "Bacterial large subunit ribosomal RNA", at positions 1927 to 2574 of the family's 2925-position model. Lineage: Eukaryota; Metazoa; Mollusca; Gastropoda; Architaenioglossa; Viviparidae. The record is from RNAcentral.
ACGGCCGCGGUAUCUUGACCGUGCAAAGGUAGCAUAAUCAAUUGUUUUAUAAUUGAAGACUGGAAUGAAUGGUUGAAUGAAAUAUUAGCUGUCUUAUUUAUAUUUGUUAGAAUUUAACUUUUAAAUGAAGAGAUUUAAAUAUAAUUGAUAGACAAGAAGACCCUGUUGAGCUUAAAAUAAUUUUAAAGGAAUAUUUUAUUAUGUCAGAUAAAUAAAUUUUAAAUUUUUUUUGGUUGGGGCGACUGAGGAAUAAUGAAAGCUUCCUUUAGUAAAAUUAUAUUACUUGAUUUUGAUCCAAUAUAUUGAUUAAAAAAAUAGUUACCACAGGGAUAACAGCAUAAUCUUCUUUGAGAGCUCAUAUCGAAAAGAAGGGUUGUGACCUCGAUGUUGGACUAAAAUAUCCUAUAAAUGUAGCUGUUUAUGAUGGUUG